Long non-coding RNA from Salvia splendens (bonfire salvia), 445 nucleotides. RefSeq lists it as uncharacterized. Lineage: Eukaryota; Viridiplantae; Streptophyta; Magnoliopsida; Lamiales; Lamiaceae. The transcript has 2 exons. The record is from RefSeq and is a predicted model, not a curated record.
CCUUGCAUAUGCAUGUUUUACAGCUUGGUUUGAUUGCUAAACCAUCAUACUUAUGACUUGUUUAUUUUCCCUCGUAUUUAGGCAAUUGACACAAGAGAUGCAUUGGCAAUGUUUAAGCUUGUUCUAAUGGCCUGUGGAGCAGAUAAACUUGUCACUUUCCUAGGGGAAAGAUAAUAUGGGGCGUUCAGUAAGCAUCCUUUAUAUGGGUUUGAGUCACUUAAGCUGUGCUGACCAGCGGCUCGAGCACCAUUUCAAUCAACAUUUCGUCAAAUAUGAGCAAGAAGUAAGCAUCACACAUAAAAGGCAUUUCAAGUUAUUUCCUUCGGUCUUUCCUUCACAAAACAGAGCCUGCAAGGAUUAAAAAUUGUGAAUCCAUAAGUAAAUUCUUUUGCCUUAAUUAUCUGAUUGUGUAAUAAAUUACACAAAAUACACGUUGGACACACUA